CGGGUGUCCUCAGGCUGCGCUCCACCCGAGAACAGAAGCUCCAUUGAGGCAGGAACGCACCUUGGGUCCUGGUCGCCGCCGGGAGCCGACGGGGACACAGGCCUCCUCCGAGUUGCCGGGCGCUGAGCCGCCUCCCCGCGGGCGUGUGUCCCCCGAGUUCUGGCCACAGACGGAGACGGGAAUAAUAACAGCGAUGUCCUCCGGAGUUGUGAGCCUAAACCAUGGGGUGACACAGACGGAGCAGCCCAGCCCGACAGCGCCUCUCGGGGGGCACUUGAUGGAGCUGUGGUGAUUCUGGGAUGAAAGCAUCAUGAAAGCGCCUGGAGGUCACGCAGACAAAGCAGCAGGCAAGGCCCUCAGAGAAGGGCCACCUGGAGCAGAGCGGGAAGAGAAGGCGCCUUUAUCAGGUGGAAUGCAGGGGCGGGACAAAAGGAAAAGAAAACCCCGCCCCGGCCGGCUCCUAAGACUGGGAAUGAUGAGGUCCUGUGUCCAGGGCUCUGCAGAGCCCUUAUCAGUGUCCCUGUGACACUGACCGGGGAUGAGGACGGUGCUGAGAUGGAGGAAAGACAAAAAAAGCAUUUCUCCACGGCCUGUUGGAAUUUCACAGUCGAGAAGACAGUAGACGGCCCAGGAAACAGAGGCUGUCCAGGCAGCUCCGCUCUGCAGUGAAAUCAGCGUCCUCAGUUCCGCUGCUUCCUGGAGGACAGAGGGAAAUGCUGCGGCCCAGCUUCCUGCGCACAGACUUGCUCUUUUCUUUCCUUUUUCUGUCAUAAUAAUAUGACUUCUUGGGAAAGCUCAUUUACAUUGACUUUGGGUUUUAUUCGUUUAUUCGGGCCUGUUUCGUUUAUUUAUCCACCAUCUUCCAGCAAGUGUUUAUUGACGGCCUCCUCUGAGCCCCGGGGAUGGAGGUUUGAGUGGGGAGACCGGUGCUCGCCCUCAGAGGGUGAAGUCUCCAGGAGACUCAGUGCACAAGUAAAUGAAGAACAAGGUGGAUGAAGGGGGCAAGCCUGCCGUAUGGGGGGUCACCGGGGAGUUGGGAUAAAGGGAAUCGAGGCCGUGUUAGACGGGGAGGGGAGGGCCGGCCUCCCUGGAGAGGUGACCUUUGAGCUGAGGGGACACCGAGAAGAUUCCAGCCAGGCACAGGCCGCCAGGAGAGCGUUCCAGACAAAGGGCACAGUUCGUGCAAAGGCCUGGAGGCAGGACUGGGCUGGACAAGCGCAGGGAACAGAGAAGAGGCUGCAGACUGUGGUGGUGGGGGAGGGUGCACUGCAGGGAGGCAGGAAGGGGGGCGAGCCCCAGGUACAGGGCAAGGCCCUGGGGUUCUCGUGGAGAAUGGGGGCAAGUGAUUGGAGGGGUCUGCGGAUCUGCAUUCCUGAACAGUCUUGGCUGCUGGUGAAAUGGACGGUGAGGCCAAGUGGAAGCCGGGCCUCCAGGCCCAUCCUGGGUCUACGAGACGUGUGGCCUUGAGCAAACUCAUCUUCCCUGAGCCUUGGUGUCCGCACCUGUGGCGUGAAGGGAUCGCGAUGGAGGGUUGGAUAAGAUGACGCCCAUGGUGGAGCCCAGCACACAGCGUCAGGCCUUCUGUAACUGUAGCGGGUGGACACUGACCUUCCCAGACUCAUGCCCCUGACCCAGGACGCAACUCAGGCCAGAAUAACGAGCCUGUGUGUUGGCCUGGGACACACGCUCGUGUAACACGACCCCUUUCACCAGCCCUUCACCUCACGACUGUUCACGAUUCCUCACAUGUGUGAGCACGGGCCGUGCUGUUGGGACUGGAGUGCUCAUAACAUCUCACCUGGGAAAGUAAUGCCACCCAAAACCAACGUCGAAUGAGGUGGUGACGCUGCGAGCAAACGCCUGCUUACUCGUUCAACAGCAAUACCGGAAAUGGCUGAAAACACACAGUUUGCCUUCUAACGCAAUUCUGGAAGCUGGCCCCUCUGAACUCCAACCCCCGGGCUGGGUUCAUUCGAAACCAUGACCCCCCCCCCCAAGGUCGCUCAGUGGCAUCCACGUCUUCCCAGGUGAGGGGGUUAAAACGUGACACCAGGAGGCGGCAGACGCACAAAUCCGGAAUGCGGGGUGUCCCACAGGCAGCUGAUCCUGGGAACUCUACAUGACGUGAGAAGGAAAGUGAGGGGCGUGGAUCACCUCCACCGGAGACGGCAGAGCCUUCACGACCAAGGACGGGGCCUUGUUCGAAUCCUGAUUCCGGAAAAGCAAUGAGAGGAAGACAUUUGCCAGACAAGUGGGGAAGUUUGAACUUUAGAAGUGACAAGGACGCUGCAGCUAUGGUAGAAGACAUCCACGUGAGGUCUGGGAUUUGCUUUAAAACACGCUGGCAGGAAGAGGGGUGAGAGCUGGAGGGAGUGGGGCAAAUCCUGGUCCCUGUGGAAUCCAAGUGAUGGGAAUGUGGAGGCGCAUUAUAUUCUUCUGGGUGAAAAUAUCCACAAUAAUUGUUCAGUUGUGCUCGGUUUAUUAUUUCCGAUUGCUGUUUACUUGAGGAAGUAUCACAGGAUAUCUCGAAAUGCAGACCAGGAAUCGCCCUGUCGUUUUGGCUCCUCACCAUGUUGACCGGGCAGGAACAGGGCACUUCACGUGGGCAUGAGCCCAAGGAUGGUGGAGGUUCCCGCUUCUUCUGCAGGCGGGACUCUCGGGAGCCUCCGGCCAGGUCCUGGAGCCGGGGAGGGGAUCUUCCUUACCCUCCGUCUGAAGCUGCCAGCCUGCUCGUGACAGAAGUUGACCGGCUGACAGCGAUUUUAUGCAGAGCUGAGCACCACAGCCGGGGCCUGUCACCCCAGCUCUCAAGUGAAGAUCCAGGGGAAUUCGUGUUGGUGAAGAAGUAAAUUAUGAACCUUGGAUGGAAAACAGCUGCGUGUGUCCUCGGCCGUAAACGCAGAUCUCCUGAGCCGGUUAAUUGGACGAUGACAGACUCUGCCAGCUGUCUCGCCGGGGCAUGCCCUCCUUUCUCACCAGCAGGACCCUGAUGGUCACAUGCUCCCUGAACCUUGUCCAGCCCCCUCCUGUCACGCCCGGUGACACCGUGCUAGGCAGGAGGGGGAACCGGAGUCUCCCUACCUCAGCCUCUUCCUCUCUCUCGCCUCCUCCUCCCUCUGAGUCCUUGGUGAUUCUCGGGCAGCGUGGUGUGGUCCUGCACGUCCCCUUCGCGGAGGGAACAUCUCCUGUGCGUCCCCCAGCAUCCACUCCCCUCCUUGUAUGAACAGACCCGACUGCAUGUGAGAAUUCACUUUCCCACCUCAGUCCCUGUGUUUGGGCUGAGCUGAUCCUGAACCCCAGGCCCCGGGGAGCGCACGAGCCAGGCCUGGCAAAGCCCCCACUGCCCAGCCCCGGACAGUGAUGGGUUCAGUGACAGGAGGGACCUAAGCGAGCCUGUUGGUGACUUUGGGGCUCUCAGGGCAUCCCGCUCUUGUCCCCGGCCUUGGACCUGAGCGCUGUGGGGCUGGAGCUGCGGUGGGUGGGUGCGUGGGGCACCUGCAAUGCCGGGCCCUGAGUGGAGCCUCAGGGGAGCCAGCGACUUGGGGGGCAGGGUGGGGGAUACUUGGGAGACCAGCAAAGUCCAGGGGACAACGUCUGUGCGCUCAGACCCAGCUCUGCCUGAAGACCAGGCCCCACUGCACCAGCCUGCUAACGCCCCUGGCCUGAGCCACCUGAGUCUGUCACUUGUCACCAGGAGAAUCUCGCAGGAGAAGGUUCAAUUUAGGGCAGAAACUCCCCUGGCCCCUUGGGAAGCCUCCAACCUUCCCGAAGCCACAAGGACACAUCCACCUGCUGAGUUCCCCUCGUGAUCACCCUCUGAGAGCCGAGCCCCCAGCAGUGGGGCAUUCUCUUUAGGUGAAUGCAGUGCCGUGUCAGGGAACCGUCUCUGGGGCUGGUUGUGCCCCCUUCAGGCCAGGAGUACCCAGCCUGGUCUGCCUGAGAACCUGAAUGGUACUGU
This 3958-nucleotide long non-coding RNA is filed under the name Equus caballus (horse). RNAcentral describes it as "lncRNA (ENSECAG00000046153.1)". Lineage: Eukaryota; Metazoa; Chordata; Mammalia; Perissodactyla; Equidae. The record is from RNAcentral.